RNAcentral lists this ribosomal RNA (253 nucleotides) under uncultured bacterium. RNAcentral describes it as "partial 16S ribosomal RNA". It matches the Rfam family "Bacterial small subunit ribosomal RNA", at positions 794 to 1049 of the family's 1533-position model. The record is from RNAcentral.
UCCACGCUGUAAACGAUGAUCACUCGCUGUUGGCGAUACACUGUCAGCGGCUAAGCGAAAGUGAUAAGUGAUCCACCUGGGGAGUACGUUCGCAAGAAUGAAACUCAAAGGAAUUGACGGGGGCCCGCACAAGCAGUGGAGUAUGUGGUUUAAUUCGACGCAACGCGAAGAACCUUACCAGGGCUUGACAUCGCUUGACCGCUCUAGAGAUAGAGCUUUCCCUUCGGGGACAAGUAGACAGGUGGUGCAUGGU